GACGAUGCUUUCACAAGGGCUGACGAAUUUGAUACCAGCAUGGUAAAAGAGUGGGCACAUGAUAUAAGAGAAUGGGCACAGAGGUGCUUCUGUUUUGUGGGCAACACCAAUGUAGCCCUCUCCUCUGAGAGGCGUAAGGCAGCACUACUCCGUAUUGACGGAAAACUGGUGGAAUUGGGCACCAAGGAGUUGGGACCGCUUGCACAGGGCAAAUUGUUUAGGGAAGCAUUCCUCAAAGAACUUAACAAGCAUGUAAACAUUUUCACCUCACUAAAUAAGGCUCAAACUUCCAUGAAGCGAGUCUUCAGGGGCUACCCCAGUAGGGGUGUUUUUGGACGGGCUGGCCGCUACAGGGGCCGAGCAGCCAGCCGGUUUUGGCCCUCCGGCCCCCGCUCACACAGACCCCAACCCUUCUACCCGGGAGUGGGCGUCAGGCAGCCUUUCUCCUACACCCGUGGAGCCGACAGAGGCAGAGGACCUCGUGGCCGUGGCAGAGCACGCUUUCCCACAGCUAAGCAACAUAAUGUCUCAAUGUCCUCUUACCCCGUGUACUGCAGGUCGUAUCGCUCUGUCUUUUCAGAACUGGACAGCCAUCUCCACGGACGCAUGGAUCCUUCAGACGGUUCGGGGCUACAUCAUAGAUUUCGUGGAAACCCCAGACCACUCCUCCGCACCCCAUUCAGUGCUCCAACGAGGAUCGCCACCUAAUCGAUGGCGAACUAUGGGAACUCAGGGCGAAAGGAGCAAUAGAACCCGCUCACGACAAAAACGGCUUCUUCAGCAACAUUUUUCUAGUAAAGAAGAAAUCCGGAGACUUCCGGCCGGUUAUAAACCUAAGGAGGCUCAACUUUUUCGUGAGGUACAGACAUUUCAAGAUGGAAGGCAUCCAUCUUCUAAGAGAUCUGCUCCAAGACAGGGACUGGUUCACAAGACUGGACCUCAAGGACGCCUACCUAUCGGUACCCGUCCAUACGUCUUGCCGACAAUUCCUCAGAUUCCGAUGGCAAGGUCGCCCCUGGCAGUUCACAUGCCUCCCCUUCGGCCUCAGCUCAGCACCGUGGUGCUUCACCAAGCUCCUCAAGCCGGUAGUAUCACAACUACGAACUCAAGGAAUUCGUUGCAUUAUCUACCUGGACGACCUGCUACUUUUUUCCUCAGACAGGUACAGUCUAACACAACACACACGAUAUACCAUUCAACUCCUGACGUCCCUAGGCUUCGUGGUGAACUACCAAAAAUCGGAGCUGCUCCCAGCCCAGACGAUACACUUCCUGGGCUUCGAGAUAGACUCCAAGACCAGCGCCUUACGGCUCCCGAUCUCAAAGAUCACAGCCAUCAAAAAGGAACUACGCAGAGUCAUCCGCUGCAACACCAUUCCACUCCGCAGCC
Non-coding RNA from Pelobates cultripes (western spadefoot toad), 1389 nucleotides. NCBI's taxonomy places the organism in Eukaryota, Metazoa, Chordata, Amphibia, Anura, Pelobatidae. The record is from the annotation of a GenBank genome assembly.